UCUGGGAUUAGAUACCCUGUUAUUUUAAAUGUAAUUGUAUAUACUUGAGUAGUAAUAGUUAUGUUCUUUAAACUUAAAAAAUUUGGCGGUAUUUUAGUCUAUUCAGAGGAACCUGUUUUAUAAUCGAUAAUCCACGAUGCACCUCACUUAUUUUUGUUUAUUAGUUUGUAUACCGUCGUUAUAGAAUAUUUUAUAAGAAAAAUAAUUUUCAAUAAGUUUUAUUAAAAUAAAUAUCAGAUCAAGGUGCAGCUUAUAUUUAAGUAAUAAUGGGUUACAAUAAAUAUAUUAUUUAUGUGAAUAUAAUUAUGAAAAAUUUAUUGAAAUUGGAUUUGAUAGUAAAAUUAAAUAGAUUAUUAAUUUGAUUUUAGCUCUAAAAUAUGUACAAAUCGCCCGUCACUCUC
RNAcentral lists this ribosomal RNA (401 nucleotides) under Agathomyia elegantula. RNAcentral describes it as "partial 12S ribosomal RNA". The record is from RNAcentral. Lineage: Eukaryota; Metazoa; Arthropoda; Insecta; Diptera; Platypezidae.